AGCCGCUACUUGUUUAGCUACU
Molecule: unclassified non-coding RNA, 22 nt
Filed under: Pseudolactococcus piscium
Lineage: Bacteria; Bacillati; Bacillota; Bacilli; Lactobacillales; Streptococcaceae
Description: Lactococcus piscium SNORD69
Source: RNAcentral